RNAcentral lists this unclassified non-coding RNA (217 nucleotides) under plant metagenome. RNAcentral describes it as "partial contains small subunit ribosomal RNA, internal transcribed spacer 1, and 5.8S ribosomal RNA". The record is from RNAcentral.
UCUCCGUAGGUGAACCUGCGGAGGGAUCAUUACAAGUGACCCCGGUCUUACCACCGGGAUGUUCAUAACCCUUUGUUGUCCGACUCUGUUGCCUCCAGGGCGACCCUGCCUUCGGGCGGGGGCUCCGGGUGGACACUUCAAACUCUUGCGUAACUUUGCAGUCUGAGUAAACUUAAUUAAUAAAUUAAAACUUUUAACAACGGAUCUCUUGGUUCUG